This 775-nucleotide ribosomal RNA is filed under the name uncultured Neocallimastigales. Its description in RNAcentral is "partial large subunit ribosomal RNA". It matches the Rfam family "Eukaryotic large subunit ribosomal RNA", at positions 23 to 631 of the family's 3401-position model. The record is from RNAcentral. Lineage: Eukaryota; Fungi; Neocallimastigomycota; Neocallimastigomycetes; Neocallimastigales.
ACACGCAUGACACACUGCAUAUCAAUAAGCGGAGGAAAAGAAACUAACAAGGAUUCCCCUAGUAACGGCGAGUGAAGCGGGAAGAGCUCAAAUUUGUAAUCUUCAAGGGUUUCCCUUGACGAAUUGUAGUUUAAAGAAGUGUUUUCUGUUAGAGAGGUGGUAAAAGUUCUUUGGAAUAGGACAUCAUAGAGGGUGAGAAUCCCGUAUUUGAUCACUUUCUACUAACGUUGUGAUACACUUUCAAAGAGUCGGAUUGUUUGGGAAUGCAGUCCAAAAUGGGUGGUAAAUUUCAUCUAAAGCUAAAUAUUGGCGAGAGACCGAUAGCGAACAAGUACCGUGAGGGAAAGAUGAAAAGAACUUUGAAAAGAGAGUUAAACAGUACGUGAAAUUGUCAAAAGGGAAGCGUUUGACACCAGUGUUGUUUUUCCGAAAAUCAAUUAUGAAUGGCUUGAUUUUAAGUUUCAUGACCUUAAAAGCUUGUUUCUUAUUUUUCAGUGUCUUUCGUAAUGCACUUUUCGGUUAACAAGUCAACAUCAAUUUCUUUUGUUGUAAAAGGUUAAGAGGAAGGUGGCUUUACUUUCGGGUAAAGUGUUUAUAGCCUUUUAACUCUGCAAUCGGAGAGAUUGAGGUCUGCAGCGUAGAUCCUUCGGGGUUAGAUACAUUUGUGCUAAGUUAUAGCUUUUCAUAGACAACUUGUUGACUAUGUUAAGUCUUGUAAUUUACUCGCAGAUGCUAUUUUACCUACGCUUAGGAUGUUGAUCUACAGAGCGAGAGU